RNAcentral lists this ribosomal RNA (1112 nucleotides) under Lactiplantibacillus plantarum. RNAcentral's name for it is "bacterial SSU rRNA". It matches the Rfam family "Bacterial small subunit ribosomal RNA", at positions 56 to 1136 of the family's 1533-position model. The record is from RNAcentral. Lineage: Bacteria; Bacillati; Bacillota; Bacilli; Lactobacillales; Lactobacillaceae.
UGCAGUCGAACGAACUCUGGUAUUGAUUGGUGCUUGCAUCAUGAUUUACAUUUGAGUGAGUGGCGAACUGGUGAGUAACACGUGGGAAACCUGCCCAGAAGCGGGGGAUAACACCUGGAAACAGAUGCUAAUACCGCAUAACAACUUGGACCGCAUGGUCCGAGUUUGAAAGAUGGCUUCGGCUAUCACUUUUGGAUGGUCCCGCGGCGUAUUAGCUAGAUGGUGGGGUAACGGCUCACCAUGGCAAUGAUACGUAGCCGACCUGAGAGGGUAAUCGGCCACAUUGGGACUGAGACACGGCCCAAACUCCUACGGGAGGCAGCAGUAGGGAAUCUUCCACAAUGGACGAAAGUCUGAUGGAGCAACGCCGCGUGAGUGAAGAAGGGUUUCGGCUCGUAAAACUCUGUUGUUAAAGAAGAACAUAUCUGAGAGUAACUGUUCAGGUAUUGACGGUAUUUAACCAGAAAGCCACGGCUAACUACGUGCCAGCAGCCGCGGUAAUACGUAGGUGGCAAGCGUUGUCCGGAUUUAUUGGGCGUAAAGCGAGCGCAGGCGGUUUUUUAAGUCUGAUGUGAAAGCCUUCGGCUCAACCGAAGAAGUGCAUCGGAAACUGGGAAACUUGAGUGCAGAAGAGGACAGUGGAACUCCAUGUGUAGCGGUGAAAUGCGUAGAUAUAUGGAAGAACACCAGUGGCGAAGGCGGCUGUCUGGUCUGUAACUGACGCUGAGGCUCGAAAGUAUGGGUAGCAAACAGGAUUAGAUACCCUGGUAGUCCAUACCGUAAACGAUGAAUGCUAAGUGUUGGAGGGUUUCCGCCCUUCAGUGCUGCAGCUAACGCAUUAAGCAUUCCGCCUGGGGAGUACGGCCGCAAGGCUGAAACUCAAAGGAAUUGACGGGGGCCCGCACAAGCGGUGGAGCAUGUGGUUUAAUUCGAAGCUACGCGAAGAACCUUACCAGGUCUUGACAUACUAUGCAAAUCUAAGAGAUUAGACGUUCCCUUCGGGGACAUGGAUACAGGUGGUGCAUGGUUGUCGUCAGCUCCUGUCCUGAGAUGUUGGGUUAAGUCCCGCAACGAGCGCAACCCUUAUUAUCAGUUGCCAGCAUUAAGUGGGC